AUCCUUCCUCUGGAGUUCUGUAGCGAGCCCAGGACAAGGGUCUUCCUCAAAGAACUGCCUCUUCUCAACUCUGUACAACAUCCAACAGAGUGGGAUUUGAAGCAAGAGAUCCCUGGUUGUAAUCCGAAGAUUUGCAAGGAUGAACUGCUCAAGACACCCUUUAUUUUGUGAUGUGACAGCUGUGCAUGUCUGUUCAGAGCAUGGCUUGUCUUUCACAUCUCUGACACUGCUGCUGAAACUGGUCAUCCACCACCUCACUGUACUUGCAUCCACUAUUUGGUCUCUAUAAAUGUUUAGCAAGUGUCAAUUAAUGUCUGUGGGUGCAAUUGUUUCCAUGUGGAGGAAUUCUCUGGCACCCCUUUACUUCAGACACGCCUCCAUAUCAGAUGCUAUUCUGUCAGACUGUCCCUCUGCCACGGGGCAACAGCAUGUAACAGGACACUGAUAGAAACCGUCCUCUUAUACUGCCUUACCAUCAACAUCCACCUCUGAUGUUGUGGACCAGCACACUAAAAUAGGAGGCAUUUUGUUCAGAGCUGUCUUUAGGUAGUUACCUGUGGUAUCUGUAAGGGACAGUAAGUCAUCAUAUAGAAAAGGAGGUAAGUCAUCCCUUUUCCAGAGCAAGAAUGCAGAGGUAAAGUGUAAGAUUUUAAAUAGUUUAUCAUGUAUAAAUAAAAAGAAGAGUGCUUUCUCCUUGGACCUGGUUCUAUGAGCUAGAGAUGACAGCUUGGUCAUUUGAAGACCUUCUCUUGGGGAAGUUUAAGAACCGAGAUGAAAUCCUGAUGAUACUGAAAUUAGAGUUUUUGGCACUGACAUCAGUAAGGCUAAUAUUUUAUUCCUUUUACUUUACAAUAGUUCUGUGAUCAUAAAGUGCAAGAUAUGUACUUUUUACUAUGGCUGCACCAUGAAAGCAGGCCUAGAGAGUUAUGUAUAUACCUUUUGUAAAAAAUAAAUAAAAAAUAUAUGGUUUCUUGGUUAAUAUACCACAGGAUUUGUUGGUGGGAUAUGAGCUAAAGGAAUAAAUUAUUAAGAGACUAUUGGCGCUGGGAUACUGCAAUACUGCAAGUGGAAAAAUGUGUAUAGUUGGGACCAGAUGUUAAACUGCAUUUUCAAAAUUAAUAUUCUGUGUGUAGGAUGGUUAUGCAAGCUGAAAGGCUUAAACAAAAUGCAAACCUUCCAGUGGAGAUGAAGAACUGAGGCCUUAACAACUGAAAACUGGAAACUUCUCUUAGGGAAUGCUUUCAAACUGUGGAAUGGAGAUAAGAGCAUUCCUUUUAUUUUCUUUAUUUUUUUUCUUU
Long non-coding RNA from Lagopus muta (rock ptarmigan), 1298 nucleotides. RefSeq lists it as uncharacterized. The transcript has 3 exons. NCBI's taxonomy places the organism in Eukaryota, Metazoa, Chordata, Aves, Galliformes, Phasianidae. The record is from RefSeq and is a predicted model, not a curated record.